GAUGAACGCUAGCGACAGGCCUAACACAUGCAAGUCGAGGGGUAACAGGGAGCUUGCUCCGCUGACGACCGGCGCACGGGUGAGUAACACGUAUGCAACCUACCUGUAAUUGGGGAAUAACCCGGCGAAAGUCGGACUAACACCGCAUAAUAAUGAAGAUUCGCAUGAAUUUUCAUUUAAAUAUUUAUAGAUUACAGAUGGGCAUGCGCAUGAUUAGAUAGUUGGUGAGGUAACGGCUCACCAAGUCAACGAUCAUUAGGGGUUCUGAGAGGAAGGUCCCCCAAUUGGAACUGAGACACGGUCCAAACUCCUACGGGAGCAGCAGUGAGGAAUAUUGGUCAAUGGACGCAAGUCUGAACCAGCCAAGUCGCGUGAAGGAUGACUGCCCUAUGGGUUGUAAACUUCUUUUAUAAGGGAAUAAAGUUCGCCACGUGUGGUGAUUUGUAUGUACUUUAUGAAUAAGGAUCGGCUAACUCCGUGCCAGCAGCCGCGGU
This 494-nucleotide ribosomal RNA is filed under the name uncultured bacterium. RNAcentral describes it as "bacterial SSU rRNA". It matches the Rfam family "Bacterial small subunit ribosomal RNA", at positions 28 to 521 of the family's 1533-position model. The record is from RNAcentral.